CCUACGGGAGGCAGCAGUGGGGAAUAUUGCACAAUGGGGGAAACCCUGAUGCAGCGACGCCGCGUGAGUGAAGAAGUAUCUCGGUACGUAAAGCUCUAUCAGCAGGGAAGAUAAUGACGGUACCUGACGAAGAAGCCCCGGCUAACUACGUGCCAGCAGCCGCGGUAAUACGUAGGGGGCAAGCGUUAUCCGGAGUUACUGGGUGUAAAGGGAGCGUAGACGGCAGCACAAGUCUGGAGUGAAAUCCCGGGGCCUCACCCCGGAACUGCUUUGGAAACUGUGCGGCUGGAGUGCAGGAUGGGUAAGCGGAAUUCCUAGUGUAGCGGUGAAAUGCGUAGAUAUUAGGAGGAACACCGGUGGCGAAGGCGGCUUACUGGACUGUAACUGACGUUGAGGCUCGAAAGCGUGGGGAGCAAACAGGAUUAGAUACCCCUGUUAGUC
Molecule: ribosomal RNA, 441 nt
Filed under: uncultured bacterium
Lineage: Bacteria
Description: partial 16S ribosomal RNA
Rfam family: Bacterial small subunit ribosomal RNA
Source: RNAcentral